Acinonyx jubatus (cheetah) is the source of this 2904-nucleotide long non-coding RNA. RefSeq lists it as uncharacterized. NCBI's taxonomy places the organism in Eukaryota, Metazoa, Chordata, Mammalia, Carnivora, Felidae. The record is from RefSeq and is a predicted model, not a curated record. The transcript has 3 exons.
GUGUAUUUAACUUAAAAAAAAAGUGAGUUGCAUACUAUUAUGAAAAAUAAUAACAUGUGUGGUAUGUGGUUUUCUGAGUUUUGGAAAAAGCGUCUUGAGCCACGGUGUGGAAUAUAUCAGAUGGAUUGUUUUCUACUGGUUGUGCAUACUUCCGGAAGACCAAGCCCAGAGCAGCGCUGGUGGAAAAUUUACCUGGUUAUACUUUCACCUCUUGUUUUCCAUCCAGGCACUCAUACUGCCCUCUGGCUUCUCCAUCCCCACUGUGAUGGUGGUGAUGAGGGUAUCUGUGGCACCUGUCCUAAACCUGGUCCGCAUCACACCUUUUGUAUUCCAGGCUUGUGGGCCAUUAAGAGAAUGGAAGGGUCAUGGGUUAAUGUAAGACUGGAACCAUCCUCAUCUCUAGGAGACUCAUUUUGCAAUUCAGUUUGAAGUUUAGUCUCAAAUGUAGAUUUUCAAAGGAAGAAUUAUGUGGGAACAGGCCUACAGGCCUCCUGGACAGAGAAGAGCCAUUUCAGAAUCCCUGUGCCAGGCCCAGGAACAGACCCUGCCGUUGGUGGAAUUGGGUCUGGCAGACCGAAUAAUGGUCCCCCAAAGAUGUCUAUGUCGUAGUCCCUGGAACAUUUAUUUUCCUGAUGUUAUCAAAUGAAGGAUCUUGAAAUGAGAAGGUUGUCCUGGAUUAGCUGAGCAGGCCCAGUAUAAUCACAAGGGUCCUUCUAAGAGGGAGGCAGGAAGAUGAAAGACAAGGCAACAUAAAGACUGAAACAGAAGUUGCAGUGGUGCAUGUUGAAGUUGGGGAGGGGCCACAAGCCAAGAAAUACAGGAAGCUUGUAAUAAAGGCAAAGGAGUGGAUGCUCCCCUGAAGCCUCUAGAAGGAGCACAGCUUUGUCAAGGCAUUUUAGACUUCUGAUCUCCAGAAUUAUGCAUUAAUAAAUUUCUGUUGUCUUGAGCCACCAAGUUGGUAAUUUGUCAUGGCAGCAACAGGAAAUUAUUGGGCUUGAGGGAAGGCCCUCUGAUGGAUGGUGUCUCACCUCCAGUGGGAGCCCCUGUUGACAGGUUAGGCAGAGCAGGCAGUGUCUGGACCCUGUAUCAAAUCUGCCUGGUGCUGCUACUCCAUGAUGCAUGAUUCACCAUGCUUGUGCUUGGUGGAUCCAAGAUCUGGCCAGGCCAAAGAAAAGAGGAGGGCCCAUAGCUUGAGAGAGGGAGGUUAGGUUUGGGUGCAAUCAGAAGCUACAUCUGAAGCGGACAGUUUUGAUUGCCAAUCUGACUUCUGUUUUCCCUUUCCCUGACCUAAGCAGAAACUUAAUUUUGUUCUGAUUUCCUCUCCCCAACUGAGCGAUGUUCUCCUGGGGAAGCUGGCUCCCUCAGCAAGUUCCAGUGAGAAUUGAUUACUAAAUGAUGGCCAUUUUCUGGUGACUGUUACUGGCCCAGAAAUGGACACAUGACCCUAGAAGCCCGAUAGGACUGAAGCAAAGGUGUGCGAAUAUGAAGACAUAGCUUUUACUGUCAUUGUCACAGUCAUCUUUUGACACAAAGGAGAGCCAAUUUUAGGAGAAGCUAUUGUUAAGGACAGAAUAGCAGAUGGAUACAAAGAAGCUGAGACCUUGAGAGCGUAACAGACAAAAUAGCUUAUCCUAUGUGAUGUACAUUAUUAUUUAAAGCCAGUGUGAAUUAGUGUUACUUAUAGCCAGAAUAAUUCUAUUGAAGCACUUUCUCAUAUCUGAGUCCUUGUCUCACACCUUUCUUGGUUGUCGGGGGGUGUGGUUUUUACUAAAAGAAACUAACUUCUAUCUGCUGAUCACACUUAGCAGCUAAAAACUUGUCACUUUUCCUAUCUAUUUUGUUCUAUCAAAUUAAGCUUGUGAUCUAAGUGGUAGGAAAUUAGUCUUUUUCUUCAAAAUACCCAGUAAAUGUUAAUAUGAGUAAAAACAAAAGCCACAUGGAUUAUGAAAUAUCUUUAUUUUUCCCAAACGAGAGUGUAAGCUCUUAGAAGUGUCUUGCCCAUGUCUGGCACUCAAAUUUGUUUGAUUUUAAUAGGCACUUUCUGAAAACAUUACUUCAUCCCAGGGAUGGUAAAUAGGAUUCAUAUUGUGUGUCAUCUCCUACUGAUUGUUGUGGAUUUCUGAAGAUCUGUGCUGAGAAGAAUUCUGAAGCCACGGCUGGGCACAGUGUGAGCAGUCACUGUGGCUGCUAGUGAAGUCUGUCACAGACACGGAUGGAGACUGGAGAAAUUACUGCUAGUGUUAAUCACCCUCAUCUUAACCCAAGAACGUAUCUCUUGAGAGGAGAGCCUUGUUAUGUUUAUAUAUGAAGAAUGGAAGACCGUUCUGGAAUCAGUUCUUCAGUGCCAAAACAAUUCAUUGAAGAAGGAAAUAAAUACACACACAAUCCAAUGCAAUAUUCUCUAAUGCUUAGAGUGGAAUAGUUGCUGCAUUUGUGUUUUGAAAUAGAAGAACAUCACAAAUAUGCUUGUACCGUGGUAGGUGAGUAUUCAUAAAUGUGAGUACACAUAUAAACAUGCAUUUCUGGAUGGAUAUACUAGAAAGUUUUAAAUGAUUUUAGAUAAAGUCCAGGGUAGCUGGGGUGAGGGAAGAGGGAGAUGUUUACUUUUUAUUUUGUUUUCCUUCUGAACAGCUGGAAUUUUUUAACCAUGUGCGCUCUAUCCUUAUUUUUUUUUAAUUGAUGAUUAAAAUAAAUAUCCUGGAUGAAAUUGUGUACCGUUUCUCUUUUUUUUCCUAUUUUCCUGUAUUAAAGUUUUUUGGCUAGUAAUUUUUUUCCCAAGUACAGAAGAUUUAAGUAUAUUUUUUAAAAACUUGAAAUUUGGCCACCUUGUUACUUGGCUUUUAGGAAACAGACCAAAGAGCAGUGACACAUGGUUAAAAAUAUAUUUUAAAUGUGUGCUACUUC